UGCGGACUGCCUUGUUGGUGACUGCCUUUUACAGUUUUCUGAUCUGACUCCUCUUUCGACAUGGGGAGUCUGCGGCGGAAGCGACGUAAACCGGCCUCGUAGCCGGAAAUGAAGCCCCGCUCCUGACACCCCUUCUGGUAACUCCAGGUCGAACACUGGGGCAAAACGGCACGGCGGUCCAUCC
RNAcentral lists this non-coding RNA (184 nucleotides) under Cyanobium sp. LEGE 06143. RNAcentral describes it as "6S RNA". It matches the Rfam family "6S / SsrS RNA". From Rfam's summary of the family: E. coli 6S RNA was the first non coding RNA to be sequenced, but its function was unknown until recently. It consists of 184 nucleotides that fold into an extended hairpin structure with a large single-stranded internal bulge. The 6S RNA specifically associates with RNA polymerase holoenzyme containing the sigma70 specificity factor. The record is from RNAcentral. RNAcentral also lists the same sequence under 1 other name. Lineage: Bacteria; Bacillati; Cyanobacteriota; Cyanophyceae; Synechococcales; Prochlorococcaceae.